AGUGAACGCUGGCGGUAGGCCUAACACAUGCCAGUCGAACGGCAGCACAGUAAGAGCUUGCUCUUACGGGUGGCGAGUGGCGGACGGGUGAGGAAUACAUCGGAAUCUACUUUUUCGUGGGGGAUAACGUAGGGAAACUUACGCUAAUACCGCAUACGACCUACGGGUGAAAGCAGGGGAUCUUCGGACCUUGCGCGAUUGAAUGAGCCGAUGUCGGAUUAGCUAGUUGGCGGGGUAAAGGCCCACCAAGGCGACGAUCCGUAGCUGGUCUGAGAGGAUGAUCAGCCACACUGGAACUGAGACACGGUCCAGACUACUACGGGAGACAGCAGUGGGGAAUAUUGGACAAUGGGCGCAAGCCUGAUCCAGCCAUACCGCGUGGGUGAAGAAGGCCUUCGGGUUGUAAAGCCCUUUUGUUGGGAAAGAAAAGCAGCAGGUUAAUACCCCGCUGUUCUGACGGUACCCAAAGAAUAAGCACCGGCUAACUUCGUG
This 492-nucleotide ribosomal RNA is filed under the name uncultured bacterium. RNAcentral describes it as "partial 16S ribosomal RNA". It matches the Rfam family "Bacterial small subunit ribosomal RNA", at positions 29 to 507 of the family's 1533-position model. The record is from RNAcentral.